This 253-nucleotide ribosomal RNA is filed under the name uncultured bacterium. Its description in RNAcentral is "partial 16S ribosomal RNA". It matches the Rfam family "Bacterial small subunit ribosomal RNA", at positions 524 to 776 of the family's 1533-position model. The record is from RNAcentral.
UACGUAGGGUCCAAGCGUUAUCCGGAAUCACUGGGCGUAAAGGGCGCGUAGGCGGCCUGAUAAGUCGGGGGUGAAAUCCUGCGGCUUAACCGCAGGGCUGCCUUCUAAACUGUCAGGCUAGAGCACAGUAGAGGCAGGUGGAAUUCCCGGUGUAGCGGUGGAAUGCGUAGAGAUCGGGAAGAACAUCAGUGGCGAAGGCGGCCUGCUGGGCUGUUGCUGACGCUGAGGCGCGACAGCGUGGGGAGCAAACAGG